RNAcentral lists this long non-coding RNA (921 nucleotides) under Pogona vitticeps (central bearded dragon). Its description in RNAcentral is "lncRNA (ENSPVIG00000002449.1)". The record is from RNAcentral. Lineage: Eukaryota; Metazoa; Chordata; Lepidosauria; Squamata; Agamidae.
AUGACCACCAGGAGUGGGCCCCGGCGCCUUGGAGACAAGCCCGUUUCUCGAAGUCUUGCUGCAGAAAACCCACCAAGAAAUGAUGCAAAAGGAAAAAUUGCUGGCAAAAUCAACAGAAACAUUUCCACGAAUCGCCUAUGGGGCUCCUCAGGACUUGCCUAUAUGUCUCCAAAGAAGUGUUUUCGGGCCACAGUCCUCCUCUGGCUAAUUUGUCAGGCCCCAUCUGAGAUGGCCAGCCUGAGUAUCCAUUACUGCCAGAAAGAUCAGCAAGAUCCACAGAAGGCUGCAGCAAGUGCUUCCUAUGACCAUCUGACCUAUAUUCUUAUAUCCUUGGGUUAUAUAGUUUUUAAUGUAAGAUAUACAUUUUUCUGUUAAUAUGAUACAAUUUUAAGAAUGAUCUGACUACAGAGCAACUGGGUUUUGAAAACAGAAGUAUCCACCACGGUUCUUUUCAGUGCAGAAAUCAGCAGCGGAAGAAAACUCUUCUCAGCGAUGAAAAUGAAGAAACACUGCUAGGAAAACGGGAAGAUUCACACAUUUGGAGUCAUGACCUGCUUGCUCUUGCACAGGAGAGAGCCUUCUUUGUUCCUAUUCCCAGACUCCCUCCCACAGGAGGCCAGGCUGGCCCCAUCUUUGCUCUCCUUCUGCAAGAAGGCAAAGACCUUUCUCUUCAGGCAAGCCUUCCCUCAAUAACUAGCUACAGUGGUGCCUCGACUUAUGACCAUAAUUCAUUCCAGAAAAUAGACUUAACUCAAAAUAAGUUGAAAGCAUCAUUUCCCAUUCAAAUACACUGGAAUGCAAAUAAUCCGUUCAGGCAACAAACAAACAACGGCACACAGCAGGCCCCGUUGGAAGGCGCUAGGGCUUUUAAAAAAACAAAUCAAAAAUAAAGUACACAGCAACCUCCGUCGCUGGGGCUUA